This 253-nucleotide ribosomal RNA is filed under the name uncultured bacterium. RNAcentral's name for it is "partial 16S ribosomal RNA". It matches the Rfam family "Bacterial small subunit ribosomal RNA", at positions 526 to 779 of the family's 1533-position model. The record is from RNAcentral.
CGUAGGGUGCAAGCGUUGUCCGGAUUUAUUGGGUUUAAAGGGUGCGUAGGCGGCCUUGUAAGUCAGUGGUGAAAUACUCCAGCUUAACUGGAGGGGUGCCAUUGAUACUGCAGGGCUUGAGUUAAGUUGAAGUUGGCGGAAUUGACGGUGUAGCGGUGAAAUGCUUAGAUAUCGUCAAGAACACCGAUAGUGAAGACAGCUAACUAACUUUUACUGACGCUGAGGCACGAAAGUGUGGGGAUCAAACAGGAUU